This 533-nucleotide long non-coding RNA is filed under the name Oreochromis niloticus (Nile tilapia). RNAcentral describes it as "lncRNA (ENSONIG00000036805.1)". The record is from RNAcentral. Lineage: Eukaryota; Metazoa; Chordata; Actinopteri; Cichliformes; Cichlidae.
ACAGAUUAGUGAUUGGAUAUCAGAUUAAUAGAAAUGUUGUUUGUAGCUGAAAUUCCAGCAGGUUUAAGCUUGUUUAGUCUACAAAAACAGCAGCAGUACCUCAUGUUUACAUGUUUAUUAAAAUGACAACAGAUUUGAGUAUUUUCUCAGUCUGUGCUUGUUAUGUGUUCAUACAGGUGGGAAUGAGGGAGGAGGAAAUCAGAAGGAGCAGAGACGAGAUGCCCCUCGGCAAAAUACCAUCAAGAGCCCCAUCUCCACAGGGAAGCGUUUUUCGCUUUGGAGCAGACUCAGCAGGAGGUGGUGGUGGUGGUGGUGGAGGACGAGUCAUGAAGGCCCGGGUGGCCCACCAGCCUGCUGGAUCCAACCCCACAUUGCUGACCUUCAACAGGGGACAGAUAAUUAAUGUGCUGGUCCAACAGCCCAGGAACGGCUGGCUGUUUGGACGUGCCGACAACAGCCCACGUCAAGGAUGGUUUCCCGCCUCAUUUGUGGAAGCAGUGGACGAUCCACCAGUGUCACCCGCCCCCAGGUAA